GACAGAGGGUGCAAGCGUUGUUCGAAAUCACUGGGCGUAAAGGGCACGUAGGCGGCAUAGUGUGUCUGAUGUGAAAGACCUUGGCCUAACCAAGGAAGUGCAUUGGAAACUACUUUGCUAGAGUAUGAGAGAGGAUGGCGGAAUUCCCAGAGUAGAGGUGAAAUUCGUAGAUACUGGGAGGAACACCUGAGGCGAAGGCGGCCAUCUGGAUCAUAACUGACGCUGAGGUGCGAAAGCAUGGGUAGCAAACAGG
Molecule: ribosomal RNA, 253 nt
Filed under: uncultured bacterium
Lineage: Bacteria
Description: partial 16S ribosomal RNA
Rfam family: Bacterial small subunit ribosomal RNA
Source: RNAcentral